CGUGCCUAAUACAUGCAAGUCGAACGAGUUCUCGUUGAUGAUCGGUGCUUGCACCGAGAUUCAACAUGGAACGAGUGGCGGACGGGUGAGUAACACGUGGGUAACCUGCCCUUAAGUGGGGGAUAACAUUUGGAAACAGAUGCUAAUACCGCAUAGAUCCAAGAACCGCAUGGUUCUUGGCUGAAAGAUGGCGUAAGCUAUCGCUUUUGGAUGGACCCGCGGCGUAUUAGCUAGUUGGUGAGGUAAUGGCUCACCAAGGCGAUGAUACGUAGCCGAACUGAGAGGUUGAUCGGCCACAUUGGGACUGAGACACGGCCCAAACUCCUACGGGAGGCAGCAGUAGGGGA
Molecule: ribosomal RNA, 347 nt
Filed under: Lacticaseibacillus paracasei
Lineage: Bacteria; Bacillati; Bacillota; Bacilli; Lactobacillales; Lactobacillaceae
Description: bacterial SSU rRNA
Rfam family: Bacterial small subunit ribosomal RNA
Source: RNAcentral